AUUGAACGCUGGCGGCAGGCCUAACUCAUGCAAGUCGAGCGGCAGCGGGAAAGUAGCUUGCUACUUUUGCCGGCGAGCGGCGGACGGGUGAGUAAUGCCUGGGAAAUUGCCCAGUCGAGGGGGAUAACAGUUGGAAACGACUGCUAAUACCGCAUACGCCCUACGGGGGAAAGCAGGGGACCUUCGGGCCUUGCGCGAUUGGAUAUGCCCAGGUGGGAUUAGCUAGUUGGUGAGGUAAUGGCUCACCAAGGCGACGAUCCCUAGCUGGUCUGAGAGGAUGAUAAGCCACGCUGGAACUGAGACACGGUCCAGACUCCUACGGGAGGCAGCAGUGGGGAAUAUUGCACAAUGGGGGAAACCCUGAUGCAGCCAUGCCGCGUGUGUGAAGAAGGCCUUCGGGUUGUAAAGCACUUUCAGCGAGGAGGAAAGGUCAGUAGCUAAUAUCUGCUGACUGUGACGUUACUCGCAGAAGAAGCACCGGCUAACUCCGUGCCAGCCGCCGCAGUAA
Molecule: ribosomal RNA, 508 nt
Filed under: uncultured bacterium
Lineage: Bacteria
Description: partial 16S ribosomal RNA
Rfam family: Bacterial small subunit ribosomal RNA
Source: RNAcentral